UUUUUCUUUUUUCUUUUGAAACAUAAGGAAAUAUUUUUCUAAGUUGGGUCCUUUUAGGCAGCUGAGGUUAGAAUGUCAGUUUGUUGUUGAGUCACUACUGUUGCUAGCAAAAGGUACAGAUGCUAUGGAUUUCUUAAGUCUUCUACCACUUACUGUAAAGAAUGUUAUAAUUUAAUCACCAUCAUAAUCUUUGGCUUUGAUGUGCUUAGAAGGUGAAGUUGCUUCCUUAUUAGGGAGGGAAAAAAAACCCAAACAAAACCCACAGGACUACACGUGUUCCUAAAUCUCAGCUAUUUUACAGCAGACUGUAUCUUUUUCUCUCUAUCUCUACUCACCCUGUACCCACAACUCACCACAAGCACAUGAUCCUGCCACUACCACUGUUGAGUGCCUCUGUAUCACAAGGCUCUUGCAAGGUAUCGUACUUAGCUGGCCUUAGCCAUCACCAUACAGCUGGGCACCAGACCUGGUUUGGGCUCCUCUCUCCCUUUUAAAGGGCAUCUGGCCCGACACAGCCUCAUUUGAACACCUUUGAAUGAACUGCCAUUCAAAAUCCAGCUAUUUUAUCUUGAAGUUUAGACAAUGCUUCCAGAGUCCCUUAGUUCAUUUGAUGUAAGUCUAUGCCACUUCUGAAAAGGGCAGUUUUACUCUUCCACACACCCCCUCAUUCAUUCCCAGUAUGUCCCUGCAAUGAACCACUGCAAGCCAGGCUGAGCACCCGAUCUGACCGAAACCCACUUUGUGGGAGCGGGGCAAGAGAUGAGCUUCUACUCAUUUUCUGGUUAUACAAAUGUUAGUACUAAUGCAAAAGGAAGCAGUAGGGACACACCGGCAGCUAGCUCUCAUGCCCUAUUUGUUCCUGCCCUGUAGUGAUGCCUUUGUCAGGACCACCUUUUCAAAGUCAUUAAUAUAAAUACUUAAAAUCAGUGUUAAAGCUGUCCUUGAACUCCUGUGUUAACUUCAUGCUACCUUGACAGUUCCCCUUUCUGCCGUACUAACCCUCCUUCAUUUUUAAAAGACUUGAUGAGAUGGAUAAUCUCUGUAGUAUUUUUUUAUAUUCUACAGUUUAACUACAGUUUCUAAUACAAAAUUCUAUCACAAAGCUUCAUUGAAAUACUUCACCAGAAUGGCACCAUUCUUAGCUGAAUGAGAAUUCCCCAUGGAAUAAAAAGUCUAAAAUAGCUCCAAGAUGCAAAUCCCUCAUUUGUCUCCCUGGGUGAUCUCAUCUGCCUCCUUCUACAUCACUAGCACAUACUGAACCUGCUCCAUGUUCCUUGAAUGCUUCUCUCCAGCUUCUUCCCAGCUGCUUCCCAUCAGGUAUUAUGUCUCAAAGAUAUUGACUUCCCAGAGUGCACGGUUGCUCUAGCAGGAUCUCAAGCAGGGAUAUACAUGACAGUGGGAGGCAAAAGAAGCAAGGAGCGGCCACAAGCACAGCGCCUCCCAGACCUUGCCUCCUGUAUGGAGAGAUUUCCGAUACACUUGUCCGUAUACUGAAAACUUCCUAUGUGAUCUCAGGAAUAUAAAGAGGAAGAUGUUCCUCUGCUCUUAUAAACACUGUACUGAGUGAUCAGAGCAUCCCUAAUGCUGCCAUAGGAGGUUGUGGACAGAAGUCUAAAUGCCUUCAAAAAGGAAACAGUAGUUAUGGACUACAGAUGCAUUAUUAAAGACACAUGGUGAGAGUCCAAGCUUCAUUUCUAUUUGCCUGACGGUAUCUGAGGUUCUGAUAAUCAAUGAAGUAUACCUCUCUACAUUCACUUUUGCUAAGCCCGAGCAUCAUCCAUUGUCACAGUGGGAUACAGAGAGGGCUACAGAUAGGCCACAGACCUGACCCUGUACGGCUCUCCUGAAGAGAGUUAACAAACCUCUUCAGGCCAAAGGACAACCACAGGGGAACAAGCAGAAACGCCAGCUGCUGCCUCUUCCCCUCCCACACAGAUCUCAGCUCAGACAAAAGGGCCAACAACAUGAGACUGAGAUUUUUGUUUAUAUUUAAAAGAAGCAGCCUUAUUAAUUUAAUUUUUUAAAUUUUUUUUCCUCCCCAGGCUUCUCCCUCUUCUUUAAGCUUUGCUUUUCUGCCACUGCAGCCCCAAACUGACCACAGUUGUUGAGGCUCCUGAAAUUUCUUCAUCUUCUCAUCCCCCAAAUUAAACCACAUUCAUAUUCACCUGUGUACUCUCUCUAUUCAUGUGAGUUCUCCUCAUCAUCCCUUAUUUUCUUAUUUUCCAUC
This 2227-nucleotide long non-coding RNA is filed under the name Strigops habroptila (Kakapo). RNAcentral describes it as "lncRNA (ENSSHBG00005017926.1)". Lineage: Eukaryota; Metazoa; Chordata; Aves; Psittaciformes; Psittacidae. The record is from RNAcentral.